This is a long non-coding RNA of Homo sapiens (human), 4592 nucleotides long. Ensembl annotates it as long intergenic non-protein coding RNA 2418. Lineage: Eukaryota; Metazoa; Chordata; Mammalia; Primates; Hominidae. The record is from Ensembl.
AGUCCUGCAUGCAGACCGCAGCCACUGACUGUUCCCGAGUCACCAGGCCACUCUUCUCUCCUGCCUCAUCGUCUUAUUCAGGGUCCACGUCAUUCUGCCACCUAUUUGAGGACACCAGGCCUUGGCUGUUUCUGCUUCUUGUACCUCCUGAGUCAGGUGGCGGUGGGGGAGGGCAGACGCCACACACACCUGGGUCCACUGGCCGCACGGCUCCUGGAAAUGCUAGUGUGACUUUCCUAAGGGUUCUUUCAAAGGACACUUUUAGACCUGCCUUUUGUCCCAAGGAUUCUAGUUGCUUCAUCUUUAGUACCACAGACUGGUGGCUAAACAACGAACAUUUACUCUGCCAGGACAACCUCGCUGCCCUCGUGGUUCCCAGCACCCGCCCGGACCUCCACACCAGGCUACUGUUUCCCCAAACGAGUGAGUGUCCUACUCCCUUCCGGCAGCCCUGACCUUCUCCUGCCUCGGAUUCUUUCAUUCUCUUCUCGGCUCCUAAAUUCAAGCUCCCCUUAUAAAGCUCAGCCCAGAUUCCCAUGAUAACGUGCUCUGCGAUUAUUUGCCGAUUCCAUCAACAUUUUUUGAGUACCUGUUGUGUGCCUGACACCUACGGCACUCAGAGCUGGAAGUGGAUCCAGCUGUGAGCAGAACACAGACCCUCGGGGAUCCCCCAGCCUGCUGGUAGAGACGACCCCCAUCCAGGGAGAUGCGGGAGCACCGAGGAGAAGCCCCAACCCUGGGGUUCAUGGAUGGCUUCCUGGAAGAGGAAGCAAGGUGAAGUCAGAGGCUAAAAAUGCACACAUUUGCAGGUGUUGAGCAAGUAGUGUGGACGCGUGAGCGAUGAGGCACAAUAGAGCAUGAAGGCGCGGGCGGUGGCAAAGGGAACUUCGCCAUCUGGGGAGGCAUCCUCUGCCCAGCUUUGAUCACUCCCUGGGAUGUGAAUAGGAGUUUAUCUUGCCAGAUAUAUGAUCUUCCAAGGUCACAGGAUUUUGCGAAUUUGUAUCAGAUUUCUCAGUUUUUAAAUGUUGCCAACUUGUAACUUUUUAAAAUAGUCAGUGGACCAUACAAGACACAACUGUAGGCCAGGUGUGUUCUGCAGGCCCUUGUUGCAACAUCUUGUCUAAGUGGAAUUCAGCCAGGCGCUGUCAUACGCAGAGCACCUGCCGAGCCAUGUGACGUGCUGCUCUCUGCCAGCCCUGAUCGCCUUCCUUUCCAGCAGGACUUGCGCUUCACACUGGACCUUGAGGCCCCAUGGAGAUCUGCCAUUUUGGGCAGGUUCUGCUCACAGUGCCAGUAACUUCACCUAGGAGAAGAGCGACAACUUCAAGGCCGCAUGACCCAUCUGAUUGUCAUCACACAGGUCCCCGCAGGAGAAUUUCCAUGGCGUUUCUCACUCUUUGUUUGCAAAGAAUUUCUUUUUUUAUCGUUUUCUUUUUCUUUUUCUAUUUUCUUUUUUCUUUUUUUUUUGAGACAGAGUCUCUCUCUGUUGCCCAGGCUGGAGUGCAGUGGCAUGACCUCGGCUCACUGCAACCUCGGCCUCCUGGGUUCAAGCAAUUCUCCUGCCUCAGCCUCCCGAGUAGCUGGGAUUACGGGCACACACCACAACGCUCAGCUAAUUUUUGUAUUUUUAGAAAAGACAGGGUUUUACCAUGUUGGCCAGGCUGGUCUCGAUCUUCUGAGCUCGUGAUCCACCUGCCUCGGCCUCCAAAGUGCUGGGAUUACAGGCGUGAGCCACCACACCCAGCCUAAGAAUUUCUUAGAAUUAAUAUCUGCACUUGGCCCCACAUCCUCUGAGUGAUAACUUAGAACUGUCACUUUAAUUGUUGAGAGAGGAUAUUCAGAGAAUAGUGGGUGAUUUUACAAGCAAGGAUAUGUUUGGGGAGCAUGUUCCCGGUGCAUUCUCAGGGUCUCGUGCAUUCUUUUAGACAUUGAAGACAUCCUGAUCUCCAGUGGAAGCAGAGCCCCAGUCAUACACUUAUCCACCGGGGACGAGUUCCAAGACCCCCAGGGAAUGCCUGAAAGCUCGGGUAGUGCUUACCUCUAUGGAUGUUGUGCACAAAUUUAUUUUUCCCUCUUUACAACUUCAUAGAUUGAAGGUUCGUUCUUACCAAAGAUCUUAGCAACCUUAGCUUAUCAUUCCUUUUAUUUCCUGAUUAAGUGGAGAACUUUCACCUUUUCACUAAAAAAAAAAAGUGCUUUACGGCUGCCUUUGCCACGUGCACAUGGUCUUUUGGGACCAUCCUUAAGUCAAAUAAGGGUGACCUGGAUGCAAGCACUGUGAUACAGAGAAAGUCCAGCUCACCACCAAGAUGGCUGCUGAGCCGCUGGUGGGCGCGGAGUGUCGUGUCUGCAGCGUGAACAUGCCGGGCAAAGGAAUAAUGCAUGUCAGGGAUAGGGUGGAGAAGGACUGUGCCAGGCUUCAUCACACUACUCAGAAUGGCACACAGUUUAGAACUUAUAAAUGAUUUAUUUCUGGAGUGAUCCACUGCAUAUUUUCAGACGGUGGUUGAUCGUGGGUAACUGAAAGCAAAACCUGACUGAAAGGGGCUGCUGUGUUCAUGUCAGCAACGCUGAUGCCCUCGAGGCCAGAAGAGUAACCACCAAUCUGGUACCUGAGCACCUGGCUGUAAGUCCACCCUCCAUUUCUGGCCAGGGCCGAGGAAUUCUCUCUUUUUCUCUUUAUUUUCCUCUUGAUUUGAGAAGGUCAACUCUGAGCAUGCUCUAAACACAAAUCAGCAUCUCUACACUUCUUCGGCACCAGGUGUUGCUACUGUCUUUCUGAUUAGAAAAAAAGAAAUAUCCAGGAAUUCUGGAAGACAGUGAUUGAUUUGCAGCUAUGCUGCAAUGGAGCUAAGAAUCAUUAGCACAACCCGUGCUGGUGUUCGACAAGAUGCCCAAUCAAUUCAUCCGAUGACAGGUGCGCUGUGUCUGCGAAGCGCGAAGCCACGGAGUGAGGUGCUGACCAGGCUCCACCAGGAGCAAGGAACAAGACUCCCCAGGGGCUCCUGGUCCACAGAAGGCAGGGACGCCCACAAACAUACCAUGAGUAAAUAGUUCCAAUGUGAAGAAGACUGAAAAUGCCACAGAAGUGUGAGCCCACUGUUUUGAAAUUCUUUCUGCUGAAGGGAUUGAGAAGAACUCUUCCAUAAAGGAGCAUGACCGAGCCAUGAGUUAUAAUAUAUACAUGCAUAUAGAAAGAGGAUGUGAAUACAGUUGCAGAAGGGCGUCAAAGCCAAAAACACACAGGGAAUGACUUGAGGAAGCUGAGGACCAAGAGCAGUGCUAGCCAUGCCAGUGACUGUGGUCGCUGAGAACUGGAUGAUGGAUGUUUGAGUGACCGUCAGGAGGAUCAGCAUGGGACCAGGAGGAUCAGCAUGGGACCAGGAGGAUCAGCAUGGGACCAGGAGGAUCAGCAUGGGACCAGGAAACAGCAGGCGAGUGAAUGUGAACUCCACUCUCAACAGGGAGAUGACGUGGGUCUCGGAAACCUACAGAUCUGAGUGCUUGCUGUCAGGUCAUGGCAGGGCUCUGACUGCACUGUGGAGGGAACAUCUGUGUUUUUGUCCUCCUGGAACCUAGUGCCCCUUUCCUGGAGGCAGCAUCCUAUUUGACCUGUGUGGGUCCAACCCCACCUCUCUCCUGUAGCAGUGGCAUGGGACCCGGGGCUGGGCCAUUCGCAGCAUUGCCACAGGCAGCAAUGGUGAUUGAUCUAGGAGUUGAUCAUUGAUCCUAACUGGGUGCUCAGGCCAAGGGGAUUGAUUCUUGGUAUUUUUUAAUCUCUUUUUUCCACUGGAAUUAUAGCUAAUAUGAUGAAGCCUAGAUAUACUGCGUAUCUGGCUUUUAGACAGGGCAAACCUGCCUAGAAAUGAAAAUGAAGUCACCACCUGUGAAAGCAGAAACAAGAGCUUGAGAGAGACUGAGUCCUGGUGAGAAUUUCUGAACCCCUUGAUCCAGCGAUGCCUGAAGCCAGAACUACUUGUAAACUUUUCAGUCAUGCAAUCCUGUCACUUCUGUUUGUUCUUAAGUGCAUUUUGUAUGGUUUCUGCCGCUGACCACGGAAACGUCCUUCACUAACAGGGAAGCAGAGUUACCCCAUUUGAGAGCCUCAGAAGGAAGAUGGCAUUCAUGCAAAGGAAGCAUGCGUUUGCUCUCACUUCCUGAGAGAAAGCCUGAAAAUGAAGCCAAUCUCAUUUUCUUUCAGAGAUGAGUCUCUUGAUCAGAGAAUGCCUCAGUUCCCUGUAUCUAAAUUUUAGCAAGUGAGAGAAUGCCUCAGUCCCCUGUAUCUGAAUUUUAGCAAGCGAGAGAAUGCAUUUAGGACAAGCAACAGCGAUGGCUCCCGUGUGUUCUUGGCUGCUCUGUUUCUAAAUGAAGAUUCACCUGGAGGCAGCCUUUGCUGCAGGGACACCCAGAUCUCACCUUGUUCUUGUUCUUUUCAAUCAUUUUAGCAAAGGCUCAGCCUACUGAUCCGAUUUAGAGAUGAGCCAUGAAAGCAGAUAUUUAGAUAAUAUUUUCCCAACUGCCUGGAGCAUUAGGUUAGAACUAGUGAGAUAAAAAUAUAAUGAAAAUAAUAGAAAGCUUUGACCCUCAGAUUU